This 712-nucleotide long non-coding RNA is filed under the name Salmo salar (Atlantic salmon). RNAcentral describes it as "lncRNA (ENSSSAG00000118801.1, ENSSSAG00020071325.1)". Lineage: Eukaryota; Metazoa; Chordata; Actinopteri; Salmoniformes; Salmonidae. The record is from RNAcentral.
CAACCAUUUAGCAGGCUUCUGUCUAUAACAUGAGCUGCUCAGUAUGUGUAGAUAAUCUUUGCUACCACAGUUUUUUUGAAAGAUAUAAUGUUAGCCAAGGAGAUCUGCAAAAGUGUUGCUACUGCUCUCAAUGACAUUGCUGCUCAUAAUUUAGCAGGCACUAUCAACAAAGAUCAGUGGGGAAAAAAGGACUUCUUUCUGCACACGGUCAAUGUGAACUGGGCCAAACAAUCUGUAGCUAAUCUGUAGCUAGCUACAAACCAAAUGGAUAAGACACUGCCGUGAAGCUUUCAUCCAUGUAUACGGGAGUCAGAAGGGCUAGUGGAGAAGGAGUCUCAUUUCUUAUAAACUCCUCGCUUUCCUCUGAUGUUUUCAAAAGGAGAGAGGAUGGGAGGAGAGGACGUGAGGAGUCGAGGAAAUCCUCUAGCAGGUGGCUUGAAAGAUGUAGCUGGGAGAUGGUCCUCAUUGCCAUCCAAUUAGAGUCAAAUUUGAGAAGGAGGCAAGGAAAGUCAGGGAAGCAGGUGAAGGUAACAGUGAAAUGAGGCAGAUGUAUGCUUAGCACCAUAGCACCAAUGCUGCUUCAGGCAGCUGAAGCAGCAGGUUAUCACUGUAACAUCAAUGCAAUGGACAUAAAAAUGCAUAUUUAGUCACCAACCAUAGUCAGGGAAUACACACACUUACAUUCAUCUUGUUCUUAUAGGCAUUUUAGCAG